AUACUUACCUGGGCAGUGGGGAGAUACCACGAUCACGAAGGUGGUUUUCCCAGGGCGAGGCUUAUCCAUUGCACUCCGGAUGUGCUGACCCCUGCGAUUUCCCCAAAUGUGGGAAACUCGACUGCAUAAUUUGUGGUAGUGGGGGACUGCGUUCGCGCUUUCCCCUG
This 167-nucleotide small nuclear RNA is filed under the name Macaca fascicularis (crab-eating macaque). RNAcentral describes it as "U1 spliceosomal RNA (ENSMFAG00000064378.1)". It matches the Rfam family "U1 spliceosomal RNA". Rfam says of the family: U1 is a small nuclear RNA (snRNA) component of the spliceosome (involved in pre-mRNA splicing). Its 5' end forms complementary base pairs with the 5' splice junction, thus defining the 5' donor site of an intron. The record is from Rfam by way of RNAcentral. Lineage: Eukaryota; Metazoa; Chordata; Mammalia; Primates; Cercopithecidae.